GACGUAGGGUGCGAGCGUUGUCCGGAAUUAUUGGGCGUAAAGGGCUCGUAGGCGGUUUGUCGCGUCGGGAGUGAAAACCUACAGCUUAACUGUGGGCUUGCUUUCGAUACGGGCAGACUAGAGGUAUGCAGGGGAGAACGGAAUUCCUGGUGUAGCGGUGAAAUGCGCAGAUAUCAGGAGGAACACCGGUGGCGAAGGCGGUUCUCUGGGCAUGAUCUGACGCUGAGGAGCGAAAGUGUGGGGAGCGAACAGG
RNAcentral lists this ribosomal RNA (253 nucleotides) under uncultured bacterium. Its description in RNAcentral is "partial 16S ribosomal RNA". It matches the Rfam family "Bacterial small subunit ribosomal RNA", at positions 524 to 776 of the family's 1533-position model. The record is from RNAcentral.